UUUAAGUAAUGGCGAAUGAACAAAGACAUAGUCAUUUUGAAAAUUGUGGUCCGUGAUCAUGAAUUGUAAUAUUCAAAAUGCAUUGCUAACAAAAUUGCAUAUGUUAGUUUAUUGGAAAGAACAUUACAAAGGGUGAAAAUCCCAUGUGUCAUGUGUAUGUUUUGUGUACAGUGUGCAUUUCAUGAUUCACAUUCAUUGACAAUUGAAUGUAAAGCGAAUGGUAAACUUCAUUUAAACAUAAAUAUGUUGUUGAAAACUUAUAUCGAACAAAUACCAUGAGGGAAAUGUGAAAAGGAUUUUGAAAAGAAAAUUAAAAGAGCUUACAAUUGCUGGAUUGAUAAGCAAACAAAACACACAUGUGUAUGUGCAAGAUUGUUGUCAUGUUGUGCAAUUCAUGCAAAUUAACAUUGCUUUGGUUUUUGUGUAAUUUUGUCAGCUUUGGAAUUGAGAAUGAUUUUUUUGAGUGUGAAUGGAUUGUUGUUUGUUAACAAAGGAAUGCACUUUCAAAAUCAUUGUUUGAUUUGUCAAUCAAGUUUGUGGCGUGUGUUGUGUGUCAAAUUUAAUUAUAUAAUUCACAAAACACAUGAAGUUUGAGCUAUUAAGGCAAUUCUUGUUUUGUUUGACCCGUCUUGAA
RNAcentral lists this ribosomal RNA (634 nucleotides) under Coolia monotis. RNAcentral's name for it is "eukaryotic LSU rRNA". It matches the Rfam family "Eukaryotic large subunit ribosomal RNA", at positions 78 to 658 of the family's 3401-position model. The record is from RNAcentral. Lineage: Eukaryota; Dinophyceae; Peridiniales; Ostreopsidaceae.